RNAcentral lists this ribosomal RNA (163 nucleotides) under Chaerophyllum azorellaceum. RNAcentral describes it as "5.8S ribosomal RNA". It matches the Rfam family "5.8S ribosomal RNA". Rfam says of the family: 5.8S ribosomal RNA (5.8S rRNA) is a component of the large subunit of the eukaryotic ribosome. The record is from RNAcentral. Lineage: Eukaryota; Viridiplantae; Streptophyta; Magnoliopsida; Apiales; Apiaceae.
AAACGACUCUCGGCAACGGAUAUCCCGGCUCUCGCAUCGAUGAAGAACGUAGCCUAAUGCGAUACUUGGUGUGAAUUGCAGAAUCCCGUGAACCAUUGAGUCUUUGAACGCAAGUUGCGCCCGAAGCCACUAGGCUGAGGGCACGUCUGCCUGGGUGUCACGC